UAACUUACCUGGCCGGGGAGAUACCAUGAUCACGAAGGUGGUUUUCCCAGGGCGAGGCUUAUCCAUUGCACUCCAGAAGUGCUGACCCCUGCGAUUUCCCCAAAUGUGGGAAACUCGACUGCAUAAUUUGUGUUAGUUGGGGGACUGCGUUCGCACUCUCCCA
Molecule: small nuclear RNA, 163 nt
Filed under: Echinops telfairi (small Madagascar hedgehog)
Lineage: Eukaryota; Metazoa; Chordata; Mammalia; Afrosoricida; Tenrecidae
Description: U1 spliceosomal RNA (ENSETEG00000023597.1)
Rfam family: U1 spliceosomal RNA
About the family: U1 is a small nuclear RNA (snRNA) component of the spliceosome (involved in pre-mRNA splicing). Its 5' end forms complementary base pairs with the 5' splice junction, thus defining the 5' donor site of an intron. There are significant differences in sequence and secondary structure between metazoan and yeast U1 snRNAs, the latter being much longer (568 nucleotides as compared to 164 nucleotides in human).
Source: RNAcentral